This is a long non-coding RNA of Bufo bufo (common toad), 272 nucleotides long. RefSeq lists it as uncharacterized. The transcript has 3 exons. The record is from RefSeq and is a predicted model, not a curated record. NCBI's taxonomy places the organism in Eukaryota, Metazoa, Chordata, Amphibia, Anura, Bufonidae.
ACAGCAGAGCUAAAGAGAGUGACAGAUGUAGCAGAGCCAAAUGUGUUUGCCUGCCAAAACCUAUGCCAAAGCUUGCUGUGACCAAGAUAAAGUUUGGAAGUUUGUUCCUCUGAUGAAAGUCAAUUCAAGUAAAGCUGUUUCCAACGUUGAUACAAAGUCUGGACUCAAUUCAUUUCUUCAUCCCCUUCAACAACUAUCCCUUGCUCUGCAGCGGGCAACGGACCACCAUGCCUGGGGCUCCGAGAUAUCCAGAUGUUUUCGCCUGCUCCUUC